ACCCAUCCAUUCAUCGUUUACCCCAAA
This 27-nucleotide non-coding RNA is filed under the name Rattus norvegicus (Norway rat). The record is from RNAcentral. Lineage: Eukaryota; Metazoa; Chordata; Mammalia; Rodentia; Muridae.